Molecule: long non-coding RNA, 607 nt
Organism: Callithrix jacchus (white-tufted-ear marmoset)
Lineage: Eukaryota; Metazoa; Chordata; Mammalia; Primates; Cebidae
Source: Ensembl
CACAUGCAAAAUAGAACACCUAAUGAAUGACCUGAGCCUGGUCAGACUGGAAUUGGUACCCUUUCACGUCACUCUGGGAUAGGAGUUGCCUGUAAUGUACACAUUCUAAUGAGUUUUUUUUUUUUUUUUUUUUUAGGAGACACUGCAAGGAUGAUGGUAAAGGUUCCUCCUUCCCAAACUCCUUACAGUAGAAGAGGAAGGCAGCAUCGGGGCUGCAGAAAGCUAAAGGAAAGAGCUCAGAAUUUAAAGUCAGACUGAGAAGUGUGAACAGAGCUGCAACUGGGAAAAAAAGAGGUAACAUAGUUGGGGUGAGUGGGAAGGUAGGUAGGGUAACUCUCAGUUACUUCCCACAGCCAGGCCUGAUCUUGGGUAUCAGCUUCUUGCCCUCUGCCCCAAUCCCAUAUUUCCUCCAUCUUUGCCCUCCAGUAGAGGGAAGUCUUGAUAGUUCCACCCAACUGUUUUGUGUAUGAACCCCAGACACUUUCCCCACCACAGAGGAUGCCUGCCUCCUUUCUAUGCAAAUGCUGUGGGCCAUCUCCAAGAACUCCUAGCUGAUUAUUCAGUUUGAAUCCAGUCACUGCUUUUCCCAACCCUACAAGUGUCCCCA